CGUGACAUGUGACAUCGCCACCAGGUGUACUUCAGUUAAAUACCAAAAUCUGAGCACACUUGGUAGCGGUGCCUUAAGUCAUU
Molecule: microRNA precursor, 83 nt
Filed under: Patiria miniata (bat star)
Lineage: Eukaryota; Metazoa; Echinodermata; Asteroidea; Valvatida; Asterinidae
Description: mir-2006 microRNA precursor family
Rfam family: mir-2006 microRNA precursor family
Source: Rfam by way of RNAcentral